CCUACGGGAGGCUGCAGUGGGGAAUAUUGCGCAAUGGUCGAAAGCCUGACGCAGCGACGCCGCGUGAGGGAUGAAGGUCUUGGGAUCGUAAACCUCUGUCAGCAGGGAAGAAAGGUCACUGUGCUAAUCAGCAGUGAAUUGACGGUACCUGCAAAGGAAGCACCGGCUAACUCCGUGCGAGCAGCCGCGGUACUACGGAGGGGGCGAGCGUUAAGCGGAAUUACUGGGCGUAAAGCGUUCGUAGGCGGUAUGUCAAGUCAAGAGUGAAAUCCCCGCGCUCAGCGUGGGAACUGCCGUUGAAACUGGCAAACUGGAGUUUGUGAGAGGAUAGUGGAAUUCCAGGUGUAGGAGUGAAAUCCGUAGAUAUCUGGAGGAACAUCAGUUGCGAAGGCGACUAUCUGGCACAUCACUGACGCUGAGGAGCGAAAGCGUGGGUAGCAAACAGGAUUAGAUACCCUUGUAGUC
RNAcentral lists this ribosomal RNA (465 nucleotides) under uncultured bacterium. RNAcentral's name for it is "partial 16S ribosomal RNA". It matches the Rfam family "Bacterial small subunit ribosomal RNA", at positions 338 to 795 of the family's 1533-position model. The record is from RNAcentral.